RNAcentral lists this ribosomal RNA (805 nucleotides) under Curtobacterium flaccumfaciens. RNAcentral's name for it is "bacterial SSU rRNA". It matches the Rfam family "Bacterial small subunit ribosomal RNA", at positions 71 to 885 of the family's 1533-position model. Lineage: Bacteria; Bacillati; Actinomycetota; Actinomycetes; Micrococcales; Microbacteriaceae. The record is from RNAcentral.
AUGCCCAGCUUGCUGGGUGGAUUUAGUGGCGAACGGGUGAGUAACACGUGAGUAACCUGCCCCUGACUCUGGGAUAAGCGUUGGAAACGACGUCUAAUACUGGAUAUGAUCACUGGCCGCAUGGUCUGGUGGUGGAAAGAUUUUUUGGUUGGGGAUGGACUCGCGGCCUAUCAGCUUGUUGGUGAGGUAAUGGCUCACCAAGGCGACGACGGGUAGCCGGCCUGAGAGGGUGACCGGCCACACUGGGACUGAGACACGGCCCAGACUCCUACGGGAGGCAGCAGUGGGGAAUAUUGCACAAUGGGCGAAAGCCUGAUGCAGCAACGCCGCGUGAGGGAUGACGGCCUUCGGGUUGUAAACCUCUUUUAGUAGGGAAGAAGCGAAAGUGACGGUACCUGCAGAAAAAGCACCGGCUAACUACGUGCCAGCAGCCGCGGUAAUACGUAGGGUGCAAGCGUUGUCCGGAAUUAUUGGGCGUAAAGAGCUCGUAGGCGGUUUGUCGCGUCUGCUGUGAAAUCCCGAGGCUCAACCUCGGGCUUGCAGUGGGUACGGGCAGACUAGAGUGCGGUAGGGGAGAUUGGAAUUCCUGGUGUAGCGGUGGAAUGCGCAGAUAUCAGGAGGAACACCGAUGGCGAAGGCAGAUCUCUGGGCCGUAACUGACGCUGAGGANCGAAAGCAUGGGGAGCGAACAGGAUUAGAUACCCUGGUAGUCCAUGCCGUAAACGUUGGGCGCUAGAUGUAGGGGACCUUUCCACGGUUUCUGUGUCGUAGCUAACGCAUUAAGCGCCCCGCCUGGGGAGUACGG